RNAcentral lists this ribosomal RNA (439 nucleotides) under uncultured soil bacterium. RNAcentral's name for it is "bacterial SSU rRNA". It matches the Rfam family "Bacterial small subunit ribosomal RNA", at positions 26 to 470 of the family's 1533-position model. The record is from RNAcentral.
AGAUUGAACGCUGGCGGCAUGCCUAACACAUGCAAGUCGAACGGGAGUAGCAAUACUCUAGUGGCGGACGGGUGAGGAAUACGUAGGAAUUUGCCCUUAAGUGGGGGAUAACCCGGGGAAACCCGGAUUAAUACCGCAUGACCUCGAAAGAGCAAAGUGGGGGAUCGCAAGACCUCACGCUUUUGGAGAAGCCUACGUCGGAUUAGCUAGUUGGUGAGGUAAUGGCUCACCAAGGCGACGAUCCGUAACUGGUCUGAGAGGAUGAUCAGUCACACCGGAACUGAGACACGGUCCGGACUCCUACGGGAGCAGCAGUGGGGAAUAUUGGACAAUGGGCGCAAGCCUGAUCCAGCAAUGCCGCGUGUCGUGAAGAAGGCCUUCGGUUGUAAAGCGACUUUAAGGUUGGGUAAGAAAAAACUCGACUACUAACACACGUAGA